This 878-nucleotide ribosomal RNA is filed under the name Pantoea agglomerans. RNAcentral describes it as "partial 23S ribosomal RNA". It matches the Rfam family "Bacterial large subunit ribosomal RNA", at positions 389 to 1265 of the family's 2925-position model. The record is from RNAcentral. Lineage: Bacteria; Pseudomonadati; Pseudomonadota; Gammaproteobacteria; Enterobacterales; Erwiniaceae.
CACACAUGCUGUGAGCUCGAUGAGUAAGGCGGGACACGUGGUAUCCUGUCUGAAUAUGGGGGGACCAUCCUCCAAGGCUAAAUACUCCUGACUGACCGAUAGUGAACCAGUACCGUGAGGGAAAGGCGAAAAGAACCCCGGCGAGGGGAGUGAAACAGAACCUGAAACCGUGUACGUACAAGCAGUGGGAGCCUUCUUUAUGGGGGUGACUGCGUACCUUUUGUAUAAUGGGUCAGCGACUUAUAUUCUGUAGCAAGGUUAACCGUAUAGGGGAGCCGCAGGGAAACCGAGUCUUAACUGGGCGUUAAGUUGCAGGGUAUAGACCCGAAACCCGGUGAUCUAGCCAUGGGCAGGUUGAAGGUUGGGUAACACUAACUGGAGGACCGAACCGACUAAUGUUGAAAAAUUAGCGGAUGACCUGUGGCUGGGGGUGAAAGGCCAAUCAAACCGGGAGAUAGCUGGUUCUCCCCGAAAGCUAUUUAGGUAGCGCCUCGUGAACUCAUCUUCGGGGGUAGAGCACUGUUUCGGCUAGGGGGCCAUCCCGGCUUACCAACCCGAUGCAAACUGCGAAUACCGAAGAAUGUUAUCACGGGAGACACACGGCGGGUGCUAACGUCCGUCGUGAAGAGGGAAACAACCCAGACCGCCAGCUAAGGUCCCAAAGUCAUGGUUAAGUGGGAAACGAUGUGGGAAGGCACAGACAGCCAGGAUGUUGGCUUAGAAGCAGCCAUCAUUUAAAGAAAGCGUAAUAGCUCACUGGUCGAGUCGGCCUGCGCGGAAGAUGUAACGGGGCUAAACCAUGCACCGAAGCUGCGGCAGCGACGCUUAUGCGUUGUUGGGUAGGGGAGCGUUCUGUAAGCCGUCGAAGGUGUGCUGUG